RNAcentral lists this ribosomal RNA (468 nucleotides) under uncultured bacterium. RNAcentral's name for it is "partial 16S ribosomal RNA". It matches the Rfam family "Bacterial small subunit ribosomal RNA", at positions 28 to 507 of the family's 1533-position model. The record is from RNAcentral.
GACGAACGCUGGCGGCGUGCUUAACACAUGCAAGUCGAACGGAAAGGCCCUGCUUUUGUGGGGUGCUCGAGUGGCGAACGGGUGAGUAACACGUGAGUAACCUGCCCUUGACUUUGGGAUAACUUCAGGAAACUGGGGCUAAUACCGGAUAGGAGCUCCUGCUGCAGGGUGGGGGUUGGAAAGUUUCGGCGGUUGGGGAUGGACUCGCGGCUUAUCAGCUUGUUGGUGGGGUAGUGGCUUACCAAGGCUUUGACGGGUAGCCGGCCUGAGAGGGUGACCGGCGACAUUGGGACUGAGAUACGGCCCAGACUCCUACGGGAGGCAGAAGUGGGGAAUAUUGCACAAUGGGCGGAAGCCUGAUGCAGCAACGCCGCGUGCGGGAUGACGGCCUUCGGGUUGUAAACCGCUUUCGCCUGUGACGAAGCGUGAGUGACGGUAAUGGGUAAAGAAGCACCGGCUAACUACGUG